RNAcentral lists this ribosomal RNA (387 nucleotides) under Colpoda sp. RNAcentral's name for it is "SSU rRNA". The record is from RNAcentral. Lineage: Eukaryota; Ciliophora; Colpodea; Colpodida; Colpodidae.
GGAAGUUUGAGGCAAUAACAGGUCUGUGAUGCCCUUAGAUGUCCUGGGCCGCACGCGCGCUACCUGACAUAUGCAACAAGUUUUACUUUCCUGUCUCGGAAGAGUACGGGUAAUCUUGUAUAAUGUAUGUCGUGCUAGGGAUAGAUCUUUGGAAUUAUAGAUCUUGAACGAGGAAUUCCUAGUAAGCAUAAGUCAUCAGCUUGUGCUGAUUACGUCCCUGCCCUUUGUACACACCGCCCGUCGCUCCUACCGAUUUUGAGUGAUCCGGUGAACCUAAAGGACCGUGGCCGGGCUCGACCCGAUCGUGGAAAUAGAAGUAAACCKKAUCACUUAGAGGAAGGAGAAGUCGUAACAAGGUUUCCGUAGGUGAACCUGCAGAAGGAUCAA